This is a small nuclear RNA of Octodon degus (degu), 164 nucleotides long. Its record names the gene U1. It matches the Rfam family "U1 spliceosomal RNA". Rfam says of the family: U1 is a small nuclear RNA (snRNA) component of the spliceosome (involved in pre-mRNA splicing). Its 5' end forms complementary base pairs with the 5' splice junction, thus defining the 5' donor site of an intron. The record is from Ensembl. Lineage: Eukaryota; Metazoa; Chordata; Mammalia; Rodentia; Octodontidae.
UUAAAAUCCUGGUAGGGGAUAUACCACAAUCACAAAGGUGGAUUUCCCAGGGUGAGGCUUACCCAUCGCACCCCGAAUGUGCUGACCCCUGUGAUUUCCCCAAAUGUUGGAAAUUCGAUGGCAUAAUUUGUGGUAGUGGGGGACUGUGUUCAUGCUCUCCCCUG